CCUACGGGUGGCAGCAGUGAGGAAUAUUGGUCCAUGGGCGCGAGCCUGAACCAGCCAAGUCGCGUGAGGGAAGACGGUCCUAUGGAUUGUAAACCUCUUUUGUCGGGGAGCAAAAGACGCCACGCGUGGCGUUCCGAGAGUACCCGAAGAAAAAGCAUCGGCUAACUCCGUGCCAGCAGCCGCGGUAAUACGGAGGAUGCGAGCGUUAUCCGGAUUUAUUGGGUUUAAAGGGUGCGCAGGCGGAAGAUCAAGUCAGGUGUUAAAGGCGCAGGCUCAACCUGUGUAUGGCACUUGAUACUUGCAAGCUGGAAUGCGGUAGAGGUAAAGGGAAUUCCUGGUGUAGCGGUGAAAUGCUUAGAUAUCAGGAGGAACAUCGGUGGCGUAAGCGCUUUACUGGGCCGUAAUUGACGCUGAGGAACGAAAGCCAGGGUAGCAAAUGGGAUUAGAUACCCUAGUAGUC
This 460-nucleotide ribosomal RNA is filed under the name uncultured bacterium. RNAcentral describes it as "partial 16S ribosomal RNA". It matches the Rfam family "Bacterial small subunit ribosomal RNA", at positions 338 to 795 of the family's 1533-position model. The record is from RNAcentral.